CUUCGGCGGGCGGCCCGGGUCCGCCCGGUGCCCCCUGGCCCCCUAGCGGGGCGCCCGCCGGAGGAAAACCCAACUCUUGAUUAUUAUGGCCUCUCUGAGUCUUCUGUACUGAAUAAGUCAAAACUUUCAACAACGGAUCUCUUGGUUCUGGCAUCGAUGAAGAACGCAGCGAAAUGCGAUAAGUAAUGUGAAUUGCAGAAUUCAGUGAAUCAUCGAAUCUUUGAACGCACAUUGCGCCCGCCAGUAUUCUGGCGGGCAUGCCUGUUCGAGCGUCAUUUCAACCAUCAAGCCCCGCGCUUGUGUUGGGGACCUGCGGCUGCCGCAGGCCCUGAAAACCAGUGGCGGGCUCGCUGUCACACCGGGCGUAGUAGAUUUUAUCUCGCUCAGGGCGUGCUGCGGGUUCCGGCCGUUAAAAAGCCUUUUUUACCCAAGGUUGACCUCGGAUCAGGUAGGAAUACCCGCUGAACUUAAGCAUAUCAAUA
RNAcentral lists this ribosomal RNA (482 nucleotides) under Pezizomycotina sp. 7R123-1. RNAcentral's name for it is "eukaryotic LSU rRNA". The stretch from base 122 to 275 matches the Rfam family "5.8S ribosomal RNA". The record is from RNAcentral. Lineage: Eukaryota; Fungi; Ascomycota.